CACAUUGAUGGAUGGAGGACAAAUAGGAUAGGUGAUGAGGGUUUAGUUGCAAUUGCUGAGAAUAGUUCAAAUCUCAAAGAAUUAGUGCUUAUCGGCCUGAAUCCUACGUCGACUAGCCUGUUCGCAAUAGCUUCUAAUUGCAAAAAGUUAGAAAGAUUGGCUCUUUGUGGUAGCGACACUAUUGGAGAUCCUGAAGUUACUUGUAUUGCCACAAAAUGUAUGGCCUUGAAGAAGCUGUGUAUCAAGGGAUGUGAAGUAACCGAUCAAGGGAUUGAAUCUUUCGCUUGGGGUUGCCCUAAUUUGGUAAAAAUCAAGGUGAAGAAGUGCAAGCAUGUGACAGGUGAUGUUGCAGAUAGGAUACGAGCUAUGAGGCAAUCACUAGCAGUGAAUCUUGAUGGUGGGGAAAUUGAUAUUGAACCUGUGGAUAGUAGUGCAAGUGAUGGUGGAGCAAUAGAAGAAGCAACAGAGUUUCAACAUACUGCAGCUGCACUGCCCAUAAUUGGUGCUAGUGAUAUUCCAUCGACGAGCAAUGUAGGACGAUCAUCAGCAUCCAAGCCAUGGUUUGGCUUUUUCGGAGGAAGGGGCCUCGUUGCCUGCACUCUCCGUAGGUG
RNAcentral lists this unclassified non-coding RNA (611 nucleotides) under Hevea brasiliensis (rubber tree). Lineage: Eukaryota; Viridiplantae; Streptophyta; Magnoliopsida; Malpighiales; Euphorbiaceae. The record is from RNAcentral.